This 468-nucleotide ribosomal RNA is filed under the name uncultured bacterium. RNAcentral describes it as "partial 16S ribosomal RNA". It matches the Rfam family "Bacterial small subunit ribosomal RNA", at positions 28 to 507 of the family's 1533-position model. The record is from RNAcentral.
GACGAACGCUGGCGGCGUGCUUAACACAUGCAAGUCGAACGGAAGGGCCCUGCUUUUGUGGGGUGCUCGAGUGGCGAACGGGUGAGUAACACGUGAGUAACCUGCCCUUGACUUUGGGAUAACUUCAGGAAACUGGGGCUAAUACCGGAUAGGAGCUCCUGCUGCAUGGUGGGGGUUGGAAAGUUUCGGCGGUUGGGGAUGGACUCGCGGCUUAUCAGCUUGUUGGUGGGGUAGUGGCUUACCAAGGCUUUGACGGGUAGCCGGCCUGAGAGGGUGACCGGCCACAUUGGGACUGAGAUACGGCCCAGACUCCUACGGGAGGCAGCAGUGGGGAAUAUUGCACAAUGGGCGGAAGCCUGAUGCAGCAACGCCGCGUGCGGGAUGACGGCCUUCGGGUUGUAAACCGCUUUCGCCUGUGAUGAAGCGUGAGUGACGGUAAUGGGUAAAGAAGCACCGGCUAACUACGUG